Molecule: long non-coding RNA, 366 nt
Filed under: Phaseolus vulgaris (common bean)
Lineage: Eukaryota; Viridiplantae; Streptophyta; Magnoliopsida; Fabales; Fabaceae
Description: long non-coding RNA (PVUL_LNC001550)
Source: RNAcentral
UUAGUAGUUUUUGAAAAAGGUUUUGAAAAGCUUGACUUUGUUGUCAAGUCAAUUCAACCGAUUGUUUCGACAAAACAAUCGAUUGUUUUCCUGAAAACCUUAAGUGUGUGGAAUAGGAUUGGGUUGUAAUUCUGAAAUUUAAGAUUUGUAAUACCCAGGCGUAUUCUAUUCCCUUCUUCCUUGAUUACUGUAUUUCUGUAGUUGUGUUGUCAAGGAGUGUUGUGUGUUCUUGAGGUGUUCAAGAUCAACAUUCUUGGUGUGGUUUGCCAAAGGUAGUGUUUCUUGAGGGGUUCAAGGUCACUACUUUGGUGUGUGAUGUGUGUAAUCUGGUUUUGAUUGCAUAGUGGAUUACCCAAUGGUUUCUGG